AGUCCAGUCUGGGUAAAGGAAUAAUCCCAGCUUAAGCAGGUAGGCGGAGAGGGCAGGCAAAUCCACUCUCUCAUUAACGCCGAGACGUGAUGAUACCCCUGGGGGCAACCCUAAGGGGAUACGUGAUGAUCCCAAACUUCCGAGAAAAGCCUCUAAGUCCGGAGAAGUGUGUCCGUACCGGAAACCGACUCAGGUGGGUGAGUAGAGAAUACUAAGGCGCUUGAGAGAACCGUAGCUAAGGAACUAGGCAAAUUACUACCGUAACUUCGGGAUAAGGUAGGCCUUCUGUAGGUGGACGGCUUCGCGCCGAAAGCUGAAGAGGGUUGCAGAGAGCAGGGGGUAGCGACUGUUUAUCAAAAACACAGGACUAUGCGAAAUCGUAAGAUGAUGUAUAUGGUCUGACGCCUGCCCGGUGCUGGAAGGUUAAGGGAAUCCGUUAAUUCGCAAGAGUGAAGCGUUGAACCGAAGCCCCAGUGAACGGCGGCCGUAACUAUAACGGUCCUAAGGUAGCGAAAUUCCUUGUCGGGUAAGUUCCGACCUGCACGAAUGGCGUAACGACUUCCCCACUGUCUCGGCUACGGACUCAGUGAAAUUGAAUUCCCGGUGAAGAUGCCGGGUACCCGCGGCAAGACGGAAAGACCCCGUGCACCUUUACUAUCUCUUUACGUUGAGCCUGGGAAUUGCAUGUGUAGGAUAGGUGGGAGACUUUGAAGCUGUGACGCUAGUCAUGGUGGAGUCACCCUUGAAAUACCACCCUUGUGAUUUCUAGGUUCUAACCGAGUCCAGUGAAUCCUGGACCGGGACCACGUAUGGUGGGUAGUUUGACUGGGGCGGUCGCCUCCCAAAGAGUAACGGAGGCGCGCGAUGGUGGGCUCAGGCUGGUUGGAAAUCAGCCGUCGAGUGUAAAGGCAUAAGCCCGCUUGACUGCGAGACCGACAGGUCGAGCAGGUACGAAAGUAGGCCUUAGUGAUCCGGUGGUUCUUCAUGGAAGGGCCAUCGCUCAACGGAUAAAAGGUACGCCGGGGAUAACAGGCUUAUCUCUCCCAAGAGUUCACAUCGACGGGGAGGUUUGGCACCUCGAUGUCGGCUCGUCACAUCCUGGGGCUGAAGUGGGUCCCAAGGGUUCGGCUGUUCGCCGAUGAAAGUGGCACGCGAGCUGGGUUCAGAACGUCGCGAGACAGUUCGGUCCCUAUCUGCCGUGGGCGAAGGAAAAUUGAGGGAACCUGCUCUUAGUACGAGAGGACCGGAGCGGACAUGCCUCUAGUGAACCAGUUGUCCUGCCAAGGGCACCGCUGGGUAGCCACGCAUGGACGGGAUAACCGCUGAAAGCAUCUAAGCGGGAAGCCCAUCCCAAGACUAGUUUUCCCUUCGACUUUAGUCGACUAAAGGUCUGUCGUAGACUACGACGUUGAUAGGUUGGGCGUGGAAGCGGGGGCAACCCGUGAAGCUUACCAAUACUAAU
Molecule: ribosomal RNA, 1462 nt
Filed under: metagenome
Description: bacterial LSU rRNA
Rfam family: Bacterial large subunit ribosomal RNA
Source: RNAcentral